Molecule: transfer RNA, 128 nt
Filed under: Oscillibacter sp.
Lineage: Bacteria; Bacillati; Bacillota; Clostridia; Eubacteriales; Oscillospiraceae
Also listed under: 2 other names
Description: tRNA-Ser
Source: RNAcentral
GCAGCUUUUGGGCUUCCGUUGUGUACUUCCAUCUUCGCUUAAUUUCCACCAAAAAUCACAAGGGGGAAAUGACUCGAAAUCAGUUUGAGGGAAACCUCACGAGGGUUCGAAUCCCUCCCGCUGCGCCA